RNAcentral lists this unclassified non-coding RNA (376 nucleotides) under Hevea brasiliensis (rubber tree). The record is from RNAcentral. Lineage: Eukaryota; Viridiplantae; Streptophyta; Magnoliopsida; Malpighiales; Euphorbiaceae.
GAAGAAGGAGUUCAGUAAGAUAUUGAUUAGGUUUAAUGUUUGAAGAAGCAUUUAAUAGAAGGGUUAAGUUUGGUCCCUUAGGCAUUGAUUUGCUCCUUGGCCGAAGAUUUAACGGAAGUCCAGUUUAACCCCUGACGAUAAGUUUUCCAUCAGUUCUGGUCUUUGAAUAUUUACGGACGACUAUUCCCUUUUGUGACGGGGGGAGAGGAUCUGUCUGUUCUUGCGACAACCAAAAUUGAGAAGCAGAACAAGCCUGCAGCGCUGUAUCACAGGUCGGCUAUGAAGAAGGAGUUCAGUAAGAUGUCAAAGGCUGUCAAGAAUUUGGUACUAGCAGGACCGCAUCUUCCACACUCUCGCCGGCCUCUUCGGCUUCGUC